GAUGAACGCUGGCGGCGUGCCUAAUACAUGCAAGUCGAGCGAACAGACGAGGAGCUUGCUCCUCUGACGUUAGCGGCGGACGGGUGAGUAACACGUGGAUAACCUACCUAUAAGACUGGGAUAACUUCGGGAAACCGGAGCUAAUACCGGAUAAUAUAUUGAACCGCAUGGUUCAAUAGUGAAUGACGGUUUCGCUGUCACUUAUAGAUGGAUCCGCGCCGCAUUAGCUAGUUGGUAAGGUAACGGCUUACCAAGGCAACGAUGCGUAGCCGACCUGAGAGGGUGAUCGGCCACACUGGAACUGAGACACGGUCCAGACUCCUACGGGAGGCAGCAGUAGGGAAUCUUCCACAAUGGGCGAAAGCUUGACGGAGCAAUGCCGCGUGAGUGAUGAAGGUCUUCGGAUCGUAAAACUCUGUUAUUAGGGAAGAACAGAUGGGUAAGUAACUAUGCACGUCUUGACGGUACCUAAUCAGAAAGCCACGGCUAACUACGUG
This 497-nucleotide ribosomal RNA is filed under the name uncultured bacterium. RNAcentral describes it as "partial 16S ribosomal RNA". It matches the Rfam family "Bacterial small subunit ribosomal RNA", at positions 28 to 507 of the family's 1533-position model. The record is from RNAcentral.